AUUGAACGCUGGCGGAAUGCUUUACACAUGCAAGUCGAACGGUAGAGGGGGCAACCCCUCGAGAGUGGCGAACGGGUGAGUAAUAUAUCGGAACGUGCCCAGUCGUGGGGGAUAACGUAGCGAAAGUUACGCUAAUACCGCAUACGAUCUAAGGAUGAAAGCGGGGGAUCGCAAGACCUCGCGCGAUUGGAGCGGCCGAUAUCAGAUUAGGUAGUGGGUGGGGUAAAGGCUCACCAAGCCAAGGAUCUUUAGCUGGUCUGAGAGGACGACCAGCCACACUGGAACUGAGACACGGUCCAGACUCCUACGGGAGGCAGCAGUGGGGAAUUUUGGACAAUGGACGCAAGUCUGAUCCAGCCAUUCCGCGUGCAGGAUGAAGGCCCUCGGGUUGUAAACUGCUUUUGUACGGAACGAAAAGGUCUCUCUUAAUACGGGGGGCUCAUGACGGUACCGUAAGAAUAAGUACCGGCUAACUACGUGCCAGCAGCCGCAGUAA
This 496-nucleotide ribosomal RNA is filed under the name uncultured bacterium. Its description in RNAcentral is "partial 16S ribosomal RNA". It matches the Rfam family "Bacterial small subunit ribosomal RNA", at positions 30 to 523 of the family's 1533-position model. The record is from RNAcentral.